AAUGAUAGAGCAAAUCUCUAUUGGCAGAACGAAGUAGAAAGCUUGGACAUGCAUGCUUCUGGUUUGCCAAAGGAGAUUUGCCCUGCCAUU
RNAcentral lists this microRNA precursor (90 nucleotides) under Medicago truncatula (barrel medic). Its description in RNAcentral is "miR399h stem-loop (mtr-MIR399h)". Its record names the gene mtr-MIR399h. Lineage: Eukaryota; Viridiplantae; Streptophyta; Magnoliopsida; Fabales; Fabaceae. The record is from miRBase by way of RNAcentral.